Transfer RNA from Serendipita vermifera MAFF 305830, 82 nucleotides. It matches the Rfam family "tRNA". From Rfam's summary of the family: Transfer RNA (tRNA) molecules are approximately 80 nucleotides in length. Their secondary structure includes four short double-helical elements and three loops (D, anti-codon, and T loops). Lineage: Eukaryota; Fungi; Basidiomycota; Agaricomycetes; Sebacinales; Serendipitaceae. The record is from Rfam.
GACGCUAUCGAUUAGUGGUUAGAUCAGCUCGUUGUGGAACCACUGACCCGAGCAGACGGGUGUUCGAAUCACCCUAGCGUCA